AUAAUAAUUAUGAAAGCAAAAAGUUAUGGCGGUAUUUUAAGCUUUUCAGAGGAAUUUGCUCUUUAAUGGAUAAAACACCCAAAUCUUACUUGAAUUUGUCAAAUCAAUUUGUAUACCACUAUCAAAUUAAUUAUUAACGUUAAUUAAUAAGAAUUAUAAAUGUUAAAGAAAAUUAAGUCAAGGUGCAGUAAAAAUUCAAGAAUGAAGUGAAUUACAUAUCUUUUUAGAGAAAGUUAAAUUAAAAUUUAAAAUUAGGAUUUGAAAGUAAAAUUAAAAUAGAAUGUUAAUUUGAAUAAAGCUCUAAAAUAUGUAC
This 313-nucleotide ribosomal RNA is filed under the name Rhipicephalus duttoni. Its description in RNAcentral is "partial small subunit ribosomal RNA". The record is from RNAcentral. Lineage: Eukaryota; Metazoa; Arthropoda; Arachnida; Ixodida; Ixodidae.